UUAGUUUUUUCAAUGAGAUAGAAGUGCAGAAAUUUAUUGAAAGCUUUUUUUAAGAUACAUGUUUGAUCCCUUCUUUUAGGUCAAUGGUGUCAUCGUGAAGAUGAAGUUUCAGUGGCAGGACAUCUGCCCUUCAUGGCGAAAGAGGUCAGGAAAACAACCCCGGAAAGCUUGCAACAUCAAUGGACUGCACCUUUGAUGAGAGGCGCUACUGGAUGAUCAUUGCCAAGCCACUCGUCAGUCAGGUACUAAGGAAGUAUCCAGUUCUGGGAUAUACUCAAGAGGCAAGAGGCUGCCAGUGCCCCAGUUAACGGUGCUUGGACCACGACCGGUUUGGACAGACAUCCCGGUGUUCAAGCCAUCGUCGACGGAAGUGCACUUUUCAUGAUUUGACCAUAUCGUAGAUUCUACCGCUCAGGAACUUCGACUUCAGUCAUCUUUGAAUGUGAUGUGUAUCUGCGACGCAAUAAAGCUAUGUUCAACCUGAA
RNAcentral lists this unclassified non-coding RNA (485 nucleotides) under Ixodes scapularis (black-legged tick). RNAcentral describes it as "uncharacterized LOC115309590, transcript variant X1". The record is from RNAcentral. Lineage: Eukaryota; Metazoa; Arthropoda; Arachnida; Ixodida; Ixodidae.